UGGGGGAAUUUUGGACAAUGGGCGAAAGCCUGAUCCAGCAAUGCCGCGUGUGUGAAGAAGGCCUUCGGGUUGUAAAGCACUUUUGUCCGGAAAGAAAUCCUUGGCUCUAAUACAGUCGGGGGAUGACGGUACCGGAAGAAUAAGCACCGGCUAACUACGUGCCAGCAGCCGCGGUAAUACGUAGGGUGCAAGCGUUAAUCGGAAUUACUGGGCGUAAAGCGUGCGCAGGCGGUUUGCUAAGACCGAUGUGAAAUCCCCGGGCUCAACCUGGGAACUGCAUUGGUGACUGGCAGGCUAGAGUAUGGCAGAGGGGGGUAGAAUUCCACGUGUAGCAGUGAAAUGCGUAGAGAUGUGGAGGAAUACCGAUGGCGAAGGCAGCCCCCUGGGCCAAUACUGACGCUCAUGCACGAAAGCGUGGGGAGCAAACAGGAUUAGAUACCCUGGUAGUCCACGCCCUAAACGAUGUCAACUAGUUGUUGGGGAUUCAUUUCCUUAGUAACGUAGCUAA
This 508-nucleotide ribosomal RNA is filed under the name uncultured bacterium. RNAcentral's name for it is "partial 16S ribosomal RNA". It matches the Rfam family "Bacterial small subunit ribosomal RNA", at positions 354 to 855 of the family's 1533-position model. The record is from RNAcentral.